CCUACGGGAGGCAGCAGUGGGGGAUAUUGCACAAUGGGGGGAACCCUGAUGCAGCGACGCCGCGUGGGUGAAGAAGCGCCUCGGCGCGUAAAGCCCUGUCAGCAGGGAAGAAAAUGACGGUACCUGAAGAAGACGCCCCGGCUAACUACGUGCCAGCAGCCGCGGGAAUACGUAGGGGGCAAGCGUUAUCCGGAUUUACUGGGUGUAAAGGGGGCGCAGACGGCGAUGCAAGCCAGGAGUGAAAGCCCGGGGCCCAACCCCGGGACUGCUCUUGGAACUGCGUGGCUGGAGUGCAGGAGGGGCAGGCGGAAUUCCUGGUGAAGCGGUGAAAUGCGUAGAUAUCAGGAGGAACACCGGUGGCGAAGGCGGCCUGCUGGACUGCAACUGACGUUGAGGCCCGAAAGCGUGGGGAGCAAACAGGAUUAGAUACCCUGGUAGUC
RNAcentral lists this ribosomal RNA (440 nucleotides) under uncultured bacterium. Its description in RNAcentral is "partial 16S ribosomal RNA". It matches the Rfam family "Bacterial small subunit ribosomal RNA", at positions 338 to 795 of the family's 1533-position model. The record is from RNAcentral.